GGACCAUGAUGGUGCCUCUGAGAGCCAACCAAACAGCGGAAGUCUCACCUGAGAAGCCAGCUUCUACUGUUAAUGUCAUCCCACCACCGCCUCUGAAAGGCCCCCAAUCCCUGAACUCGACACUUCUCAAAAAAACUCUAUGUAUCAAAUGAUGGUCUCAUCCUUUGACAUGGAGUCUGCUGUUUCAGGCCUCAGCAUUUCCCACAUUCAAACAUCACUUUGCUGCAUCCUUAAUUCGUACUACAUCCUUCAUGCCCAUACUAGGUAUGACACAACUUCGUUUCCCUUAUGGAUCACUUUCAUUUUGAAUGCUUUGAAAGCAAUAUUACUUCAUAAACAAAAUAAUUUAAGAAAACAAAAUAUGUAUUUAAAUAAUGUACCAAAUACAAAUAACUAUACAUAUUGAAUAAAAACAAUAGAUGCUUUUUAAA
Equus caballus (horse) is the source of this 431-nucleotide non-coding RNA. Lineage: Eukaryota; Metazoa; Chordata; Mammalia; Perissodactyla; Equidae. The record is from RefSeq and is a predicted model, not a curated record.